RNAcentral lists this long non-coding RNA (4151 nucleotides) under Carica papaya (papaya). Its description in RNAcentral is "long non-coding RNA (CPAP_LNC011628)". The record is from RNAcentral. Lineage: Eukaryota; Viridiplantae; Streptophyta; Magnoliopsida; Brassicales; Caricaceae.
UACUCUUUUUCUUCUUCUUCUCUCUAUCUCUCUGCAAAGAUUGACUAUGUUCAUAAGUACAAAAGAUGCCUUUCUUUGGAAGAGCAGAAACCAUCCGCUGAAAAAAUUCUUCAAAUCAUUGUUGUAUCUGUGUGCUUUAUCUAUAAGAAAAUUAUCAACUUUUGGGGUGAAGGGACUGUUUGGUUUCUUUCUAUUAUUGUUGGGCCGAAUUUUUUUAGGGUGACGACUUUGUUGAAGCUUCGAUUUUUCCUUCUGAGAUCGUCUGGGGUGCUCCCCAGCUGAGAAUUUCCUUCUUAACUUGCAAAAAGAAAAAAAAGAAACUUCCGAAGAGAAGCAAGUCGGUUGUCUUUAUUUUUGGAUAUAUGAAGAACGUCAUGUGUCUAAAUAAGUGGUUUAAUCAUUCAUUACCAUCAGGAAUUUGAUUAUGUCGUUUCAGGCAGAUGGGAUAAAUUAUUUGAGGUAGGUAAUAUGGCUCAUUUUAGUUAAAAAGCAAUUAAAGAAAAAAGAACAUGGUGCCUUUAAGGAAAACUUCCAUUUAUUGACUAAUCACCAACCAUUUUGGUGAUCAUAUCUAGAAAGUUUGUUCUGCAGUGCGAAACAUAUUCAUAUUAAGGGUUUCUAAUGAUUACCUGGUUUCUGCAUUUGUUACGAUUCCUAUCAUGGUUUCUCAUAUUUCUGUCUUUUAAUCUUUUUAUUCUAUACAUAGCAGAAGGUAAAAAUGGAAAUGAGAAAAGAAGAGAUCAACCUGUUGUUCCGGUGUCUACCACAACCACCAGCAAUGCAGAAAGUACUUCGUCCACACCUAAAUUCAGCGAGGAACUGAGGGUCUCUUCUCAACUUCGGAAGUUCACUUUUGUUGAUCUUAAGUUAGCUACUAGGAAUUUCCGACCUGAGAGUCUUCUUGGCGAGGGUGGGUUUGGUUGUGUUUUCAAAGGAUGGAUUGAAGAGAAUGGAACUGCACCUGUGAAACCUGGUACAGGGCUGACUGUGGCAGUAAAAACCUUGAACCAUGAUGGACUCCAGGGUCAUAAAGAGUGGCUUGUAUGGAUCCUUAUUCAUCUACUCUCUUUCAUUUAAGUUCUACAUAUAGACUAAAAGUAUAUGCUUCUUCUUGCAUUUCUUUUCCAGUUGGUGAUCCUCAUGAUUUUCAUUAUAUGUCAGGCUGAAGUUAAUUUCCUUGGUAACCUUCUUCACCCCAAUUUAGUUAAAUUGGUGGGUUAUUGCAUUGAAGAUGAUCAAAGGCUGCUGGUAUAUGAGUUUAUGCCUCGAGGAAGUUUGGAGAACCACCUCUUCAGAAGUAUGUAACUGAUAUUUAAUUAAUUUGCACAGACGCAAUUCUUCAUGAAUAUUCCUUGUAAGCUGUAAAUUGCUUGGUUCAACCUUAUGCCAUGGUCAGUUACAUUUGUAGGCUUAGUGGCAUUUGGGGUGCUUCUUAAAUGCUCUCAACGCAUGAAUCCAAAAUUCAAGCAGCCACGUGUUCUUAGGUUAAGCAGUGGUUCUUAAUGUUUCACUAGAGUGCUCAGGGGAAAACACUAGAUAUUCAAAAUUAGGUAUGGAAUAAAUGAAUGCUUGUAUUGCAACUUCGCCUAUCAUUCUUUUCGUUUGGGUUAGGUUUGUUUCUAUAUUUAUGGGGUUUGGUUUAGUCAAAUGAUAAAACCAUGUGUAGGAUUCAGGAUUGAACGUUAAUUGAAGAUAUUUUUGGAUAACUAAGUGCAACAGUUAAGAGGUGUUCAAAUAGUUAUUGUUGGAUAUCAAUUAAUUGAUUAGUAGUUCUUCUGUCUGGCAUUUCCACACGCAUGUCUACGUGUCAAGUGGAGUCUACUAAGCCAACUAGGCAAAAAAUGCCUAUGGCACUGAAAUUGUCCUCAAAAGUUAAGAGGGAAAUCUUAUUUUGCUACCUGGCAAAUUAAAUAUAAUUUAUGGAAAAGUUCCCUGUAUAUGAGAAGAUUGAAGCAAAGUCUGUUCCUUCAUCCAGUAUUGCAAAAUUGCCAGCUUCCUAAGGCUGCUCUGUCAGUGGUAAGUUUGCAAUGAACUUACCACCUUUAGCUUGAGAGAGGAUAUCCUCAUUGUUGGCUUUAAAGGUCUUUUAUGACAAUUAACUACAGUUGAAAAAUAAUGAAGUUGGUUAAUUUGGUUUUUAUGUAUCAUUGGAAGGAUAUUAAAAGCAAAUUUGUUCCACCCGGAGUAGGAUAAUUUUCUUGUGUACUUCGGGCUGCUAUGCCUUUUGUUGUGUUAAUCAAUGUGUAGCACUAACUAUAUAGGUGGAGCAAAAUAAAUUUUAUCUUUGUUUAACUUACGCCAUUACAAUUUAUUUGUUUUGGUCUCUGUUAUGCAUGUUCAAAGUAACAGAUCUGUUCAGACAUUUUCUUGCUCUAUUUUGUUCUCUUUCUCAAAUCUUAUGUGCAUUAUCUCCUUAAUGUCUUUAGUUCUACUAGCAAUUGUUGAUAUGAAAUUUUUGGACAAAAUGAAUUUACUGUGGCUUUGUAACUGUUGCUUACAUGGAAAGGUUUUGGUAGUUUUUCCUUUUUUAAUGUUAUGGUAGUAUCUUGUUUGAAAAAACUGCUGUUAUUGUGUUAUUAUGUAAACAUUUACAUCUGUGAUUGCGCUCUUACAUCGGCACAUAUUAUUUUGCUAUGCAUCUCUAUAACAAAUUUAAUGUUCCCUGGUAAUGACCAUGUUAUGUGCAGAAGGGUCCUUGCCUCUUCCUUGGUCUAUUAGAAUGAAAAUUGCACUUGGUGCUGCAAAGGGUCUUGCCUUUCUACAUGAAGAAGCUGAAAAGCCAGUCAUAUAUCGUGAUUUUAAAACAUCAAAUAUUUUAUUAGAUGCGGUGCGUAGUUAAGACUUGUUAAAUUAAAGUGUCUGGUGUAAUCAUCAAUUUCUUAGUAAAAACAAAUGCUCAUUUCAGGAUUAUAAUGCAAAACUCUCUGAUUUUGGGCUUGCAAAAGAUGCUCCUGAGGAAGGUAAAACUCAUGUAUCUACUCGAGUCAUGGGAACAUACGGCUAUGCUGCUCCAGAAUAUGUGAUGACUGGUGCGUGGCUUUUCUGUUCUUUGUUUGAACCUAAACUUUAUUGAGCUGCUUGAAUAAAUACGUUCUUUUCCAAUCUCUAGUAUUUUGAUGGGUAGCUAGAUUCUUCACUGGUCUGCUUCAAAAAAGUCCGUAAAUGAUCACUUUCUGACAUUAUGAUAGUAUAAUAGGUUUGAAGAAAGCAGGUCUUUAUGUUUGAUACAGUUUAUAAGGACCCUCUCUUUCUUUUGCGGACUUUCUUCUUUGACAAUAAUGUCAUAUAUGUACAACUUGCUGCAUGUGCAAACAAGCCAGACAUGCUGCAUUACCUCAUGACUAAUGAAAUGUUUAGUUCAAAUUGCUCUCACUUGAUAUGUUUCUUGUCACUUCUAUAGAUAUCCUUCCAUUUUAAGUCGUGGCUACAAAGAAAUGGCAACUUUCUCCGGAACUACAUACUUUUUUGUGAUAUGAAUUGUGAUUGUGCAAUGAUGUACCAUUGAAUCACAAACUGUUUUUUCUUUUAUUAGACUAAUACAGUUCUCUCUUAUUUAGGACAUUUGACAUCAAAGAGUGACGUCUACAGCUUCGGAGUGGUUUUACUGGAAAUGCUGACUGGUCGAAGGUCCAUGGACAAGAACCGACCAAAUGGAGAGCACAACCUGGUUGAAUGGGCAAGACCACAUCUAUUGGACAAGAGAAGGUUCUACCGGUUAUUGGAUCCUCGCCUUGAAGGUCACUUCUCAAUUGGAGGUGCUCAAAAGGCCACCCAGCUUGCUGCUCAAUGUCUUAGUCGUGACCCCAAAGCUAGACCACGAAUGAGUGAAGUUGUUGAAACUCUAAAGCCUCUUCCAAACCUUAAGGAUAUGGCCAGCUCCUCAUAUUUCUUCCAAACCAUGCAAGCUGAUCGUUCCAGGUCCAGCACUUUUUCUAAAAAUGGUGUUAGAACUCAGGCAGGAUUCACAGCAAGGAAUGGGCAACCAUUAAGGAGUUUAUCCAGUCCCAAGGUCCUCAGCUUCACCAUAUCACAACAAAAACCCAUUCUCCAAAGCCUAAUGGCAAAGAUCAUAACUGAAUUGCUUUACCUUUCAAUGUUAGAUUUGGUUCUCUUGCAUAAUGGCUUCCUCAUAUAACAUUAUCAACAACAAU